GCACCUGUGGCGGAAUUGGCAGACGCGCCAGACUUAGGAUCUGGUAUCGUGAGGUGUGCAGGUUCAAGUCCUGUCAGGUGCACCA
This 85-nucleotide transfer RNA is filed under the name Oscillospiraceae bacterium. RNAcentral's name for it is "tRNA-Leu". It matches the Rfam family "tRNA". Rfam says of the family: Transfer RNA (tRNA) molecules are approximately 80 nucleotides in length. Lineage: Bacteria; Bacillati; Bacillota; Clostridia; Eubacteriales; Oscillospiraceae. The record is from RNAcentral.